UUUUCUCAAGGAAGAAGACCUGACGGUACUUGAGGAAUAAGCCACGGCUAAUUCCGUGCCAGCAGCCGCGGUAAUACGGGAGUGGCAAGCGUUAUCCGGAAUUAUUGGGCGUAAAGCGUCCGCAGGCGGCCCUGUAAGUCUGUCGUUAAAGCGUGGAGCUUAACUCCAUUUAAGCGAUGGAAACUACAGGGCUUGAGUGUGGUAGGGGCAGAGGGAAUUCCCGGUGUAGCGGUGAAAUGCGUAGAUAUCGGGAAGAACACCAGUGGCGAAGGCGCUCUGCUGGGCCAUAACUGACGCUCAUGGACGAAAGCCAGGGGAGCGAAAGGGAUUAGAUACCCCUGUAGUCCUGGCCGUAAACGAUGAACACUAGGUGUCGGGGGAAUCGACCCCCUCGGUGUCGUAGCCAACGCGUUAAGUGUUCCGCCUGGGGAGUACGCACGCAAGUGUGAAACUCAAAGGAAUUGACGGGGGCCCGCACAAGCGGUGGAGUAUGUGGUUUAAUUCGAUGCAACGCGAAGAACCUUACCAGGGUUUGACAUCCUGCGAACCCCCUGGAAACGGGGGGGUGCCUUCGGGAACGCAGUGACAGGUGGUGCAUGGCUGUCGUCAGCUCGUGUCGUGAGAUGUUGGGUUAAGUCCCGCAACGAGCGCAACCCACGUCGUUAGUUGCCAGCAUUCAGUUGGGCACUCUAGCGAGACCGCCGGUGAUAAACCGGAGGAAGGUGUGGAUGACGUCAAGUCAUCAUGCCCCUUACAUCCUGGGCUACACACGUACUACAAUGCUACGGACAAAGGGCCGCAAGCUCGCGAGAGUUAGCAAAUCCCAUAAACCGUGGCUCAGUUCAGAUCGUAGGCUGCAACUCGCCUACGUGAAGGAGGAAUCGCUAGUAAUCGCAGGUCAGCAUACUGCGGUGAAUACGUUCCCGGGCCUUGUACACACCGCCCGUCACACCAUGGAAGUUGGCCACGCCCGAAGU
Molecule: ribosomal RNA, 977 nt
Filed under: uncultured cyanobacterium
Lineage: Bacteria; Bacillati; Cyanobacteriota
Description: bacterial SSU rRNA
Rfam family: Bacterial small subunit ribosomal RNA
Source: RNAcentral